CCGAGUUUACAACUCCCAAACCCAAUGUGAACCAUACCAAACUGUUGCCAUCGGCGGGGUCACGCCCCGGGUGCGUCGCAGCCCCGGAACCAGGCGCCCGCCGGAGGGACCAACCAAACUCUUUCUGUAGUCCCCUCGCGGACGUUAUUUCUUACAGCUCUGAGCAAAAAUUCAAAAUGAAUCA
Molecule: unclassified non-coding RNA, 184 nt
Filed under: soil metagenome
Description: partial internal transcribed spacer 1
Source: RNAcentral